Molecule: ribosomal RNA, 414 nt
Filed under: uncultured microorganism
Description: bacterial SSU rRNA
Rfam family: Archaeal small subunit ribosomal RNA
Source: RNAcentral
CAGCCGCCGCGGUAAUACCGGCGGCCCGAGUGGCGGUCACUAUUAUUGGGCUUAAAGCGUCCGUAGCCGGGUUGGGAAGUCCUCCGGGAAAUCUGGCCGCUUAACGGUCAGAAUGCCGGAGGAUACUCCCAGCCUAGGGAGCGGGAGAGGCCGAGGGGAUUCCCGGAGUAGGGGGGAAAUCCUAUAAUCCCGGGAGGACCACCCGUGGCGAAGGCGCUCGGCUGGAACGCGUCCGACGGUGAGGGACGAAGGCCAGGGGAGCAAACCGGAUUAGAUACCCGGGUAGUCCUGGCUGUAAACGAUGCGGACUUUGUGUCGGACAAGCUAUGAGCUUGUCCGGUGCCGGAGGGAAACCGUUAAGUCCGCCGCCUGGGGAGUACGGCCGCAAGGCUGAAACUUAAAGGAAUUGGCGGG